Molecule: ribosomal RNA, 301 nt
Filed under: uncultured bacterium
Lineage: Bacteria
Description: partial 16S ribosomal RNA
Rfam family: Bacterial small subunit ribosomal RNA
Source: RNAcentral
CAGCCGCCGCGGUAAUACAGAGGGUGCAAGCGUUAAUCGGAAUUACUGGGCGUAAAGCGCGCGUAGGUGGUUUGUUAAGUUGGAUGUGAAAGCCCCGGGCUCAACCUGGGAACUGCAUCCAAAACUGGCAAGCUAGAGUACGGUAGAGGGUGGUGGAAUUUCCUGUGUAGCGGUGAAAUGCGUAGAUAUAGGAAGGAACACCAGUGGCGAAGGCGACCACCUGGACUGAUACUGACACUGAGGUGCGAAAGCGUGGGGAGCAAACAGGAUUAGAUACCCCUGUAGUCCCUGUCUCUUAUAA